ACGGGAGGCAGCAGUGGGGGAUAUUGGACAAUGGGGGCAACCCUGAUCCAGCGACGCCGCGUGAGUGAAGAAGUAUUUCGGUAUGUAAAGCUCUACCAGCAGGGAAGAAAAAUAACCAAAUUGACUGUACCUGACUAAGAAGCCCCGGCUAACUACGUGCCAGCAGCCGCGGUAAUACGUAGGGGGCAAGCGUUAUCCGGAUUUACUGGGUGUAAAGGGAGCGUAGGCGGCGAAGCAAGUCAGAUGUGAAAGCCCGGGGCUCAACCCCGGUACUGCACUUGAAACUGUUUUGCUAGAGUAUCGGAGAGGUAAGUGGAAUUCCUAGUGUAGCGGUGAAAUGCUUAGAUAUUAGGAAGAACACCAGUGGCGAAGGCGGCUUACUGGACGAUAACUGACGCUGAGGCUCGAAAGCGUGGGGAGCAAACAGGAUUAGAUACCCUGGUA
RNAcentral lists this ribosomal RNA (444 nucleotides) under uncultured Lachnospiraceae bacterium. RNAcentral's name for it is "bacterial SSU rRNA". It matches the Rfam family "Bacterial small subunit ribosomal RNA", at positions 341 to 792 of the family's 1533-position model. The record is from RNAcentral. Lineage: Bacteria; Bacillati; Bacillota; Clostridia; Lachnospirales; Lachnospiraceae.